CCUACGGGGAGCAGCAGUGGGGAGAGUGCACAAGGGGGGAAACCCGGAGGCAGAGACGCCGCGUGUGGGAAGACGGUCCUCGGGAUUGUAAACCACUGUCCCCAGGGACGAAGAUGACGGUACCUGGGGAGGAAGCUCCGGCCAACGACGGGCCAGCAGCCGCGGUAAGACGUAGGGAGCGAGCGUUGUCCGGAAUUACUGGGUGUAAAGGGAGCGGAGGCGGGGAGGCAAGUUGGGUGUCAAAACUACCGGCUCAACUGGUAGUCGCACUCAAAACGGCAGCUCUUGAGUGAAGUAGAGGCAGGCUGCCUUCCUCGUGUUGCGGUGACAUGCGUAGCUCUUAGGAG
RNAcentral lists this ribosomal RNA (347 nucleotides) under uncultured bacterium. Its description in RNAcentral is "partial 16S ribosomal RNA". It matches the Rfam family "Bacterial small subunit ribosomal RNA", at positions 338 to 703 of the family's 1533-position model. The record is from RNAcentral.